ACGGUUAGGCCACGUUGAAACACCGGUUUCCUUACAAUCAGCGAAAUUAAGAAACAUCUAGCCUGGUCAGUACCUAGAUGGGUGACCGCUUGGGAAAACCAAGCGUUGUAAG
Acanthosepion pharaonis is the source of this 112-nucleotide non-coding RNA. The record is from the annotation of a GenBank genome assembly. Lineage: Eukaryota; Metazoa; Mollusca; Cephalopoda; Sepiida; Sepiidae.